ACUAGAGCUUUUCCUAAUGAAUACGAAAGCUGUGAUGUAGAACGUGUGGGUAUUUCCUUUUGGAAAGCAGAAAUACCUGUUCCUGGCUCAUCCUUGUCUACGCAGAUCAACAAAGUCCUUUCUCACUGCUGUGGCCUCUCGUGUCUAAGGCCUUGGAAGCCUUGAGGGAAAGCCUGAAGGGUUUUGAAGUGUGGAGGGUUACUGUCAUAUUUGGCCUAGGAAAAGCGGUUUUAUUGCUUUCUAGUAUGGAAUUUCUCUUUCUCAGAAUUUCAGAGAAGGCAAAUGUCAGACAGGAAGCCAAGAAAGAAGUGAAAGGAAGCCUGGCCUAUGUGUCUUCUCUCUAGCCAUGGAUUUGCAGCUGGACUCCUGAAGCCACCCGUCUCUACUAAAAGGACAGCAACACACACCAGCAGCUGAAUCAUGUGCAGCUUUGAGACAGAACAAGGGAGUGCAGUGAAAUAUAACAGAGGGGCUACACACCGUGGAUAUGGCAGAGGGGGAUGAAACUGGCGGCCUAAUAGAGGUCUGGUGUGAGUUCAUGUUAUAUAAAAUAUAAGAAUGGAUUUUAGGAACAGUGGUUUAAAAGCAGAGUGUAUUUAUUGAGAGAAAGAAAGCUUCUGUCUAAGACAGACAGACAGAAGUGGUCCUGAGUGGGUUGCCAAAGACUGUCUUUUCUAAGGGACUUUUAGAGUAAAACCAAAAAGUGAGGCGGUCUAAGGUGGGGAAACAUGAGAACCCUUAAAGUGGGUAUGAGGAGGGACAAGCCUAUGGUCAAACUAAAGAGGAUGCGUGUAACUGCUCAGGUGAAAUUGAUUAAAUCAGAAUCAAAUGGAAAAGUGAGUCAUAGCAAGCUGGCAUGAAUAUAGGACAGUGACUUCCUGAAGCUGGUUGGGAUGGUGACUCCUGGCUUCCCCAGAGGGAUAGAGACCUAUUUAGAAUAUCAUUUCCUGAUGCCUAUCCUUAGGAAAUAAGUGGAUACAUUUGAUUUAUCUUUCUCUUGAGGUCUGGCCCACAGUGGAGGUGUCUGUCUCCCUUACAGUUGCAAGGUAUCUGGUCUUGUGCACUGGUUCCUUGGAGGGCCCAGCCCUGUCGGACUGCCUAGAAUAUUUCUAACUCCCUUGCCUGUAGUAAUGCACCCUCUGAAGAAGUAACUCAAAUUGCCACGAGGGGUUGUAGUUGUUGAUAGGCAGCCAAGGAUACUCUGUAUAGGAUCUAUCUAGAGACCCGCAAUACACACCAGGCAUUUUUGUCUUGGGUAAGCAUACAGCUUGAAGUCUGGAGAAGACAAAGGCAAAGAAACAAUUAAAUAUACUGGGUCCAAAUAUAAUUAUUAGGAUAUGUAUGAGUACAGUUAACAAAAAUUUCCAUCAAGAGGAACUAGUAAUGGCUUCUCAUAGGGAGGAUAAGGAUAAAGUCCAGGAAAUUUUAGAGUUUGACAUAUAAUUGAUUUGUCAUCUAAUAUCUUGAACAGCUAUUGAGAUAUUAGCAGAAGGAUUAGGAAUGUACCCACAACAUUUAGGUUUUACAACUGUACAAGUGUCUCCUGUGCUGUUAGAAUGUCUGGCCAUUUGAUUUUGGAGUGUGGCUUGUCUCUUUAAUUUUACUUUUUUCAUUGAGGAAAGAGAGACCAGAUGUGGUGACAUUUAAGGCUCACUGAGUAUGUUAGGGUACAAUUAUAAUGUAGGAACACAUUUAUGAGAUGGCAAACUUAGAGAUAUUUUAUGAUUAAUUAGAGGCCUCUCACCAAGUUACUGUUUCUGCUGUUUCUGCUAAAUUCUAUUGACCUUGAUGGUGUCUACAACAGCUGCACACCUAUGAUAAGUACUGAGUCAAAGUAAUAGUCUAUACCUUCAGGCACCCUGGGCUAAUUCCGGGCCCCUCCCCAGAAUGUCCCUUUAUUAUGAUUAUACCUUAACUAUGCUCAUUCUGUAGGGCUCACCCCAAUAUUUCUAUAUGAUGGUAAUGCCCUUAGUUGUGCUUAUCCUGUAAGGAUCCCCUUCCCUUAUCCCUGGAAUGUUUCUAUAUUAUAAUGGACCCAAGAGUCAGAUUUAAGGUCUGUUUCUUUUAAGCAGCUACUAUUUGGUCUCUUGGUUUUCUCUCUCUGGCUUUCUCACAGUCCCAAUUACAGAAUACUAAGAAGGCAAUUUUUACUGAAAUAUCAAGUGAAAUUUCUGUGACUUUUCCUAAUGUCUGGGGUUGAUGGGUAAUAAACACAUCUUUAAGUGAAA
Long non-coding RNA from Cavia porcellus (domestic guinea pig), 2228 nucleotides. RefSeq lists it as uncharacterized. The record is from RefSeq and is a predicted model, not a curated record. The transcript has 2 exons. Lineage: Eukaryota; Metazoa; Chordata; Mammalia; Rodentia; Caviidae.